GUAGGUGGCAAGCGUUGUCCGGGAAUUAUUGGGGCGUAAAGCGCGCGCAGGCGGUUCUUUAAGUCUGAUGUGAAAGCCCACGGGCUCAACCGUGGAGGGUCAUUGGAAACUGGAGAACUUGAGUACAGAAGAGGAAAGCGGAAUUCCACGUGUAGCGGUGAAAUGCGUAGAGAUGUGGAGGAACACCAGUGGCGAAGGCGGCUUUCUGGUCUGCAACUGACGCUGAGGCGCGAAAGCGUGGGGAGCAAACAGGAUUAGAUACCCUGGUAGUCCACGCCGUAAACGAUGAGUGCUAAGUGUUAGGGGGUUUCCGCCCCUUAGUGCUGCAGCUAACGCAUUAAGCACUCCGCCUGGGGAGUACGGCCGCAAAGGCUG
Molecule: ribosomal RNA, 375 nt
Filed under: uncultured organism
Description: partial 16S ribosomal RNA
Rfam family: Bacterial small subunit ribosomal RNA
Source: RNAcentral